ACAAUUGUUCGUGUACCCAAACAGCCGGGCUCUCAACUCACCCACUUCCCCUUCCCAAUAAAACCCUACAUGCGUGAUCACCAAUCUCCAUUCGCCGCCUCAAAUCCUGCAAUGAGACUGUACACGUCGUCGUUUUAGCGUCAGGUUACCCAUUUGGUUCUCCGUGUGCUGCUCGCUCAUGGUGGAAGUUCUUGCUGUUAAUUGUUCUCUUGCUAGUCUACUAUCUUUUCUUGUUUUUCUCGUAUUACUGAAUGAAUCCCUAUGAAGAACGUCUUAUUGAAAUAAAAGUAGUGGCCUGAUGUCCAUUGAUGAUAGCCUUGUUCUGAGGGAUUGCGUAAUCAUGUUUCAAAUCCUUCAUGUUCCGUGAGCUAUAGAUUCUUUGGCUUAAUGCACAAACGUGCAUUUGGCUGAUGCCAGCCUCGCUCCAAAGUUUGUUUCUGUUUUCCUAAUAAUUUUAAUUUUUCCGGCAAAGAGAAGUGUUUUUAAUUUGAUUCACUUUCUUUUUUUAAGAUCAAGAUUUUGUAGCAUCCCCGUGAUGAUAUUUUCCACAAUUUUAACGUUAAAAGUAGACUGAAAUCCCUUGAUGAGAGAAUUGGUUCUGAGGGAUGUGCUACAUUUGUUGUUUGGAGAAAAAUCCCCAACAUCAAUAGCAUAAUAUCAUUUUCAAAGCUAAAGUUCAACUUUUUAUGGUAGAUGUACGUAAAGUUUCUCACAUCCUUGUUUCAUGUUAAGUAAAUUACCUUAAAUUCUUCACCUCAUCCUGUUUUUAUUCCCUCUGAAGAAGAUGCUGAUUGAUUAAAAGCAGUGGACUGAUACUCAUUGAUGAGUGAAUUGAGAUCUUCAUGGUUAUGGUUAUUGAUUGAUAGUCAUCUCCAGAAACCCAAGUCAAUUAUGUCAGGCCAACUACUGAUGCCAGAAGAUGUAUGCGGACUGGACGGCACUUAAUGGUGAUGAGAGAAAAUGCAAGUCUGGCUGUUGUAGGCAAGCAAUUUCUUCCAGAGAAAGAGAAGCAGAUAGAACUGCUGAAAGUGGCAAUAUUUUGAUAUUUGCAACUCUUUCUGAACUUCAGAGAAAUGAAUGUAGAGGAGGAUCUUGCUUAAGUUAAAGCUGCAAAACUCCUG
Long non-coding RNA from Sesamum indicum (sesame), 1121 nucleotides. RefSeq lists it as uncharacterized. The record is from RefSeq and is a predicted model, not a curated record. Lineage: Eukaryota; Viridiplantae; Streptophyta; Magnoliopsida; Lamiales; Pedaliaceae.